UACGUAGGGUGCGGGCGUUAAUCGGAAUUACUGGGCGUAAAGUGUGCGCAGGCGGCCGAGCAAGUCGAGUGUGAAAGCCCCGAGCUUAACUUGGGAACUGCGCUCGAAACUACUUGGCUAGAGUGUGGCAGAGGGAGGUGGAAUUCCACGUGUAGCGGUGAAAUGCGUAGAGAUGUGGAGGAACACCGAUGGCGAAGGCAGCCUCCUGGGCCAACACUGACGCUCAUGCACGAAAGCGUGGGGAGCAAACAGG
RNAcentral lists this ribosomal RNA (253 nucleotides) under uncultured bacterium. RNAcentral describes it as "partial 16S ribosomal RNA". It matches the Rfam family "Bacterial small subunit ribosomal RNA", at positions 524 to 776 of the family's 1533-position model. The record is from RNAcentral.